This 74-nucleotide transfer RNA is filed under the name Candidatus Altimarinota bacterium. RNAcentral's name for it is "tRNA-Cys". It matches the Rfam family "tRNA". Rfam says of the family: Transfer RNA (tRNA) molecules are approximately 80 nucleotides in length. Their secondary structure includes four short double-helical elements and three loops (D, anti-codon, and T loops). The record is from RNAcentral. Lineage: Bacteria; Candidatus Altimarinota.
GGCGCCAUGGCCAAGUGGUAAGGCAGAGGAUUGCAAAUCCUUUAUCCCCGGUUCGAGUCCGGGUGGCGCCUCCA